AGCCCAGCAGUGAAUCCCGCGGUUCCAGCGAUCGCCGGGAGAUGUGGUGUUCGGGAGUUUCCGCUUUCUCGUCGUCGCGCGUCCUGUCCAAGUUCGUCUUGAACGGGGCCGCUUUCCCGUAGAGGGUGCCAGGCCCGUAGUGACGGAGNCCGGCGGCGAGAGGAAUUCUCCUCAGAGUCGGGUUGCUUGAGAGUGCAGCCCUAAGUGGGUGGUAAACUCCAUCUAAGGCU
This 230-nucleotide ribosomal RNA is filed under the name Heterobathmia pseuderiocrania (southern beech moth). RNAcentral describes it as "partial 28S large subunit ribosomal RNA". It matches the Rfam family "Eukaryotic large subunit ribosomal RNA", at positions 106 to 317 of the family's 3401-position model. The record is from RNAcentral. Lineage: Eukaryota; Metazoa; Arthropoda; Insecta; Lepidoptera; Heterobathmiidae.